RNAcentral lists this ribosomal RNA (417 nucleotides) under Conostigmus sp. Its description in RNAcentral is "partial 16S ribosomal RNA". Lineage: Eukaryota; Metazoa; Arthropoda; Insecta; Hymenoptera; Megaspilidae. The record is from RNAcentral.
CUGCUCAAUGAAUAAAUUUAAAUGGCUGCAGUAUUUUAACUGUGCUAAGGUAGCAUAAUAAUUAGUUUAUUAAUUGUGAACUUGUAUGAAUGAUUUAAUAAAACAAAAACUUUUUUAAUUUAAAAUUUUAAAUUUAAUAAGUAAGUAAAAAUGCUUAUAUAUUUAUAUUAGACGAUAAGACCCUAUAAAAUUUUAUAAUAAAAUUUUUAUUAAUUUAUUGAAUUUAUAAAUAGUAGUUUUAUUAUUUAAUUGGGGUGAUUUAAUUAUUUAAUAAAUUAAUUGACUUUUUAAACAUUAAUAAAUGAUUUUAAGAUCCAAAAAUUUUGAUUAAUAGAUUAAAUUACUUUAGGGAUAACAGCGUAAUUAUUUAUUUUAGUUCUUAUAAAUUAAAUUAUUUGCGACCUCGAUGUUGAAUUA